Molecule: ribosomal RNA, 249 nt
Filed under: uncultured bacterium
Lineage: Bacteria
Description: partial 16S ribosomal RNA
Rfam family: Bacterial small subunit ribosomal RNA
Source: RNAcentral
UGAGUAACACGUAUGCAACCUGCCUGCCACAGCCGGAUAAUCGGGAGAAAUUCCGUCUAAUACGGCAUAAUGCAUCGACGGGACAUCCUGUUGGUGCCAAAGGUUAAUUCCGGUGGCGGAUGGGCAUGCGUCGCAUUAGUUAGUUGGCGGUGUAACGGACCACCAAGACGACGAUGCGUAGGGGUUCUGAGAGGAAGGCCCCCCACACUGGGACUGAGACACGGCCCAGACGCCUACGGGAGGCAGCAG